Molecule: ribosomal RNA, 94 nt
Rfam family: Bacterial large subunit ribosomal RNA
UCCCUCAAAGAUGAUGAGGUUAAUAGGUUCGAGGUGGAAGCGUGGCGACACGUGGAGCUGACGAAUACUAAUCGAUCGAAGACUUAAUCAAUUU